Podarcis lilfordi (Lilford's wall lizard) is the source of this 71-nucleotide non-coding RNA. Lineage: Eukaryota; Metazoa; Chordata; Lepidosauria; Squamata; Lacertidae. The record is from the annotation of a GenBank genome assembly.
AGGGUCAUAGCUCAGUGGUGGAACAUCUGCUUUGCCCACAGAAGGUCCAGGUUCAACCCCCUGUGUCUCCA